RNAcentral lists this ribosomal RNA (254 nucleotides) under uncultured bacterium. RNAcentral describes it as "partial 16S ribosomal RNA". It matches the Rfam family "Bacterial small subunit ribosomal RNA", at positions 524 to 776 of the family's 1533-position model. The record is from RNAcentral.
UACGUAGGGUGCAAGCGUUAAUCGGAAUUACUGGGCGUAAAGCGUGCGCAGGCGGUUUUGUAAGACUGUCGUGAAAUCCCCGGGCUCAACCUGGGAAUGGCGAUGGUGACUGCAAGGCUAGAGUUUGGCAGAGGGGGGGUAGAAUUCCACGUGUAGCAGUGAAAUGCGUAGAUAUGUGGAGGAACACCGAUGGCGAAGGCAGCCCCCUGGGUCAAAACUGACGCUCAUGCACGAAAGCGUGGGGAGCAAACAGG